This 76-nucleotide transfer RNA is filed under the name Burkholderiales bacterium. RNAcentral describes it as "tRNA-Thr". It matches the Rfam family "tRNA". From Rfam's summary of the family: Transfer RNA (tRNA) molecules are approximately 80 nucleotides in length. Their secondary structure includes four short double-helical elements and three loops (D, anti-codon, and T loops). Lineage: Bacteria; Pseudomonadati; Pseudomonadota; Betaproteobacteria; Burkholderiales. The record is from RNAcentral. RNAcentral also lists the same sequence under 5 other names.
GCCGGCUUAGCUCAGCUGGUAGAGCAACCGCCUUGUAAGCGGUAGGUCGCCCGUUCGAGUCGGGCAGCCGGCACCA